Long non-coding RNA from Hyla sarda, 394 nucleotides. RefSeq lists it as uncharacterized. Lineage: Eukaryota; Metazoa; Chordata; Amphibia; Anura; Hylidae. The transcript has 3 exons. The record is from RefSeq and is a predicted model, not a curated record.
GAAAAUGACUUAAAGAUAAAGAAUACAUUAUUCAGAUGCCAUCGGAUGGGUUAAUAUGAUAAUUGAUCCUAAUUAAUACAUCAUAAUUUAUCACUUCAUGUCGAGUGAACCUUCAGUGGAACGGUCCAGUGAAUUCACCUUCAAGUCAAGGCUUCAAGUAGAUCCCUACCGAUCUGUGCUGUUCAAUCUCUGGGUGAUCAAGUAUUCAGGAUAAAUAUCGGCUUAAAAAAACAUCUGCCAUCGGUGACUUCUUGUUGCAAGAUUAAAGGGGUUAUCCAGAUGAUGUGCAAUAUGAUGUCAGAAGGGUCCUCAAAAGCACAGUAGCAUACCUAGAUCAUGCUCGAAACAAGCUUAACUUCUGUGAAAGUAAAGUAGUGGUCACUGUUGUUUCAAA